UGUCCCUGAGGUGCCACAACGCGUCCCUGAGGUGCCACCACGCGUCCCUCAUGUGCCACCACGGGUCCCCGAGGUGCCACAACGCGUCCCUGAGGUGCCACAACGCAUCCCUGAGGUGCCACCGCGCGUCCCUGAGGUGCCACCACCAGCCCCUGAGGUUGUCAUCGUGCCUCGACCCACGCUGGGGCUGCUGGGACCCCUCCCCACGCCGCCCGGCCCGGAGGGUCCGGCACCAGCCGCCGGCAGCGUGUGCGAGCGGAACCCGCGGAUCUGCGGCCCCGGGCGCUGCGUCCCGCGCCAGGGCGGCUACACCUGCCUCUGCCACCCCGGCUUCUGGCUCAGCACCCAGGGCACCCACUGCAUCGGUGAGCGGCGCCCGGCCUCUCCCUGGGCACCCAUUUCCCCGUGCACCCACCUCCCCCUGCACCCACCCACCUCCCCAUGCACCCACCCAUUUCCCCGUGCACCCACCUCCCCGUGCACCCACCUCCCCGUGCACCCAUUUCCCCAUGCACCCACCUCCC
RNAcentral lists this long non-coding RNA (524 nucleotides) under Anser brachyrhynchus (Pink-footed goose). RNAcentral's name for it is "lncRNA (ENSABRG00000022419.1)". Lineage: Eukaryota; Metazoa; Chordata; Aves; Anseriformes; Anatidae. The record is from RNAcentral.